RNAcentral lists this ribosomal RNA (1280 nucleotides) under Salmonella enterica subsp. enterica. RNAcentral's name for it is "bacterial LSU rRNA". It matches the Rfam family "Bacterial large subunit ribosomal RNA", at positions 1 to 1211 of the family's 2925-position model. RNAcentral also lists the same sequence under 1 other name. Lineage: Bacteria; Pseudomonadati; Pseudomonadota; Gammaproteobacteria; Enterobacterales; Enterobacteriaceae. The record is from RNAcentral.
GGGUUGUGAGGUUAAGCGACUAAGCGUACACGGUGGAUGCCCUGGCAGUCAGAGGCGAUGAAGGGCGUGCUAAUCUGCGAUAAGCGCCGGUAAGGUGAUAUGAACCGUUAUAACCGGCGAUACCCGAAUGGGGAAACCCAGUGUGACUCGUCACACUAUCAUUAACUGAAUCCAUAGGUUAAUGAGGCGAACCGGGGGAACUGAAACAUCUAAGUACCCCGAGGAAAAGAAAUCAACCGAGAUUCCCCCAGUAGCGGCGAGCGAACGGGGAGGAGCCCAGAGCCUGAAUCAGCAUGUGUGUUAGUGGAAGCGUCUGGAAAGGCGCGCGAUACAGGGUGACAGCCCCGUACACAAAAGCGCAUGUGCUGUGAGCUCGAUGAGUAGGGCGGGACACGUGGUAUCCUGUCUGAAUAUGGGGGGACCAUCCUCCAAGGCUAAAUACUCCUGACUGACCGAUAGUGAACCAGUACCGUGAGGGAAAGGCGAAAAGAACCCCGGCGAGGGGAGUGAAAAAGAACCUGAAACCGUGUACGUACAAGCAGUGGGAGCCCCACCACCAAAGCAUUCUCUGGUGUUGAAGGCCCUGCAAAGCAGCAUCGCGGUGGCGGAGCGUCGUUUGCGACGCCCAACACAAAAAACAAGCGGUGAGUGCUUUGGGGUGGGGUGACUGCGUACCUUUUGUAUAAUGGGUCAGCGACUUAUAUUCUGUAGCAAGGUUAACCGAAUAGGGGAGCCGUAGGGAAACCGAGUCUUAACUGGGCGUUAAGUUGCAGGGUAUAGACCCGAAACCCGGUGAUCUAGCCAUGGGCAGGUUGAAGGUUGGGUAACACUAACUGGAGGACCGAACCGACUAAUGUUGAAAAAUUAGCGGAUGACCUGUGGCUGGGGGUGAAAGGCCAAUCAAACCGGGAGAUAGCUGGUUCUCCCCGAAAGCUAUUUAGGUAGCGCCUCGUGAAUUCAUCUCCGGGGGUAGAGCACUGUUUCGGCUAGGGGGCCAUCCCGGCUUACCAACCCGAUGCAAACUGCGAAUACCGGAGAAUGUUAUCACGGGAGACACACGGCGGGUGCUAACGUCCGUCGUGAAGAGGGAAACAACCCAGACCGCCAGCUAAGGUCCCAAAGUCAUGGUUAAGUGGGAAACGAUGUGGGAAGGCCCAGACAGCCAGGAUGUUGGCUUAGAAGCAGCCAUCAUUUAAAGAAAGCGUAAUAGCUCACUGGUCGAGUCGGCCUGCGCGGAAGAUGUAACGGGGCUAAACCAUGCACCGAAGCUGCGGCAGCGA